UACGAAGGGGGCUAGCGUUGUUCGGAAUUACUGGGCGUAAAGCGUGCGCAGGCGGCUAUCCAAGUCAGUGGUGAAAGCCCGGAGCUCAACUCCGGAAUUGCCAUUGAAACUGUUUAGCUCGAGUACGAGAGAGGUGAGUGGAAUUCCCAGUGUAGAGGUGAAAUUCGUAGAUAUUGGGAAGAACACCGGUGGCGAAGGCGGCUCACUGGCUCGUAACUGACGCUCAUGCACGAAAGCGUGGGGAGCAAACAGG
This 253-nucleotide ribosomal RNA is filed under the name uncultured bacterium. RNAcentral's name for it is "partial 16S ribosomal RNA". It matches the Rfam family "Bacterial small subunit ribosomal RNA", at positions 524 to 776 of the family's 1533-position model. The record is from RNAcentral.